Molecule: ribosomal RNA, 253 nt
Filed under: uncultured bacterium
Lineage: Bacteria
Description: partial 16S ribosomal RNA
Rfam family: Bacterial small subunit ribosomal RNA
Source: RNAcentral
UACGUAGGGUCCGAGCGUUGUCCGGAAUUAUUGGGCGUAAAGGGCUCGUAGGCGGUUUGUCGCGUCGGGAGUGAAAACACGGGGCUUAACCCCGUGCCUGCUUCCGAUACGGGCAGACUAGAGGUAUGCAGGGGAGAACGGAAUUCCUGGUGUAGCGGUGAAAUGCGCAGAUAUCAGGAGGAACACCGGUGGCGAAGGCGGUUCUCUGGGCCGUAACUGACGCUGAGGAGCGAAAGCAUGGGGAGCGAACAGG